AGGGGGAGGGUGGCCGAACCCCCCCGGGGCGUGCAAGGGUCGUGUUUUAUGGGCAAAAACACGUGGAUUUGAGUGGGAUCCAAGAGGUUAGCGCACGCCCCUAGGCAAGACGUAGCGGUUGGCUCAGUCGGAUGAUGUUUCCCUGUAACCAUCACCGUAAACCGGUCCUUUAGUAUCCGUACGGGGAUCUGGGUCUGAGGUGUAUUGCAUGAGGUGUAGCACCAUGAAAUUGACGAUUUGAGCUCCGCCGCGCAAGAACGUGUUAAUCCGGUGUCGUCCACGAUACUUGGGAGCCGUUGCCCUGGUCAUGUAAAUGUUCCCAGUCGGUAUGAUUCCCCAAAAAGGUGAUUGCCGCGUUACGUUUUCGUGUUCCAUGUGGGCUGCUUCUCCUCAGUCGCUCUGGGUGGUCAUCCAUGUUAACCACGGAUAAUGCGCUUAUCCGGUGUCGUCCACAAUACUUGGGAGUCGCUGCCCUGGUCCCGUGAACGUUCCCAGUCGGUAUGAUUCCCCAAAAAGGUGAUUGCCGCGUUACAUUUUCGUGUUCCAUAUGGGCUGCUUCUCCUCAGUCGCUCUGGGUGGUCAUCCGCGGUAGGCACAUUCCGUCGCCUCUAGUCCCUUCAGAGAAAUGUUGCCCCAAGACGGUAUCGUUAUUGGUGUAACACCCGCGCGUCGUGGACACUCAGGACGCCUUCGUGCAGGCCAUUCCCCCGUGCUAUGCGUGGGGGGAGGCUUGGUUGGCUUGACCGAUGUGGAUACGCGAGCGGAUGAGUAGCUUUGGACCCGUGUCUGUUGUUAGAUCCCCCGUCCUCGUGCGGCCGACUAGCGACGCCGUGUCCCGUCAUUCGUGUGGCUUAUGUUACUGUUGCCUUUCAAGUGCUUG
Molecule: unclassified non-coding RNA, 880 nt
Filed under: Avena sterilis
Lineage: Eukaryota; Viridiplantae; Streptophyta; Magnoliopsida; Poales; Poaceae
Description: partial external transcribed spacer
Source: RNAcentral